ACAUGUCUUUAUGUAUAUAUAAGUCUUACCUGCUCACUGAUAUUUUAAAUAGCCGCGGUAUAUUGACCGUGCAAAGGUAGCAUAAUCAUUAGUUUUUUAAUUGAAGGCUGGUAUGAAAGGUUUGACGAGGAAUAAACUGUUUCUAUUUAAUAAUUAGAAUUUAACUUUUAAGUUAAAAGGCUUAAAUUUUAUUUAAGGACGAUAAGACCCUAUAGAUCUUUAUAUUAUGAUUUAUUUAAUAAUAAGUUUAUUUCUUUUAUUAUAAUUUAAUAUUUUGUUGGGGUGACAUAAAGAAUAAUUAAACUCUUUAUUUUAAUUUCAUUACAUAUAUGAAUUAAUGAUCCAUAAUUUAUGAUUAUAAGAUUAAGAUACCUUAGGGAUAACAGCGUAAUUUUUAUAGAGAGUUCAUAUUGAUAUAAAAGAUUGCGACCUCGAUGUUGGAUUAAGAUAAAUAUAUGGUGCAUAAGUUAUAUAAUUAGGUCUGUUCGACCUUUAAAUUCUU
RNAcentral lists this ribosomal RNA (502 nucleotides) under Euschmidtia cruciformis. RNAcentral's name for it is "partial 16S ribosomal RNA". It matches the Rfam family "Bacterial large subunit ribosomal RNA", at positions 1829 to 2597 of the family's 2925-position model. Lineage: Eukaryota; Metazoa; Arthropoda; Insecta; Orthoptera; Euschmidtiidae. The record is from RNAcentral.